GACGAACGCUGGCGGCGUGCCUAAUACAUGCAAGUUGAGCGCUCAGGGUUGGUGCUUGUACCAACUGCGUUAGCAGCGGACGGGUGAGUAACGCGUGGGUAAUCUGCCUUUAAGCGGGGGACAACAUCGGGAAACGGAUGCUAAUACCGCAUAAAAACUUUAAACACAAGGUUUAAGUUUGAAAGAUGCAAUUGCAUCACUCAAAGAUUAUCCCGCGUUGUAUUAGCCAGUUGGGUAGGGAAAGGCCCAACAAGGCGAAGGUACAUAGCCCGCCUGAGAGGGUGGUCGGCCAACAUGGGAACGGGACAAGGGCCAAACUCCUUAGGGGGGGCGCAGGAGGGAAUCUUCGGGAAAGGGGGGAAGGCUGACCGGGCCAAGCCGGCUGGGUGAAGGAGGUUCUCGGGUUGGAAAACUCCGUUUGUAGGGAAGAAAGUAGGUGGGAGUGGAAAGCUCAUCAAGUGACGGUACCUACACAGAAAGCGACGGCUAACUACGUG
RNAcentral lists this ribosomal RNA (497 nucleotides) under uncultured bacterium. RNAcentral describes it as "partial 16S ribosomal RNA". It matches the Rfam family "Bacterial small subunit ribosomal RNA", at positions 28 to 507 of the family's 1533-position model. The record is from RNAcentral.